RNAcentral lists this long non-coding RNA (1767 nucleotides) under Pelobates cultripes (western spadefoot toad). Lineage: Eukaryota; Metazoa; Chordata; Amphibia; Anura; Pelobatidae. The record is from RNAcentral.
CAGUUACAGGGCCCCUUUACAGUGGUAAUUUCACAAUGAGGGCCUUUCCUUUUAAUUUCCUUUACUUAACAAACUUCAGAUCUGUCAGAACCGGUAGAUGUUUACAGUGAUUGGAUUGAUGCUUGUGAAGCAGCUAACCAGUAGCAACAGUCUUAUUUUUGCCGCGUAAUCCCACAAUCUCGUGGCUUCUGUUGCCAUCCCUUCACGUCCUUCGCUGUCGAGUCUCCCUAAUCACACCUUGAAGAGAUUGGUGCAUAUCGAAGGAUGCUCUGAAAUUAAUACAACUUGUAACAGAGGCUCCAUUUCAUCAUCAACUAAUGUUAUGGGACCACAGCUGCUAAAAUGUCCAUUACAUCUGGGCAGAAGUAUUUGUCUAGUAGUGGUUUUAUUUUUUCCCCCCCAUUUUUUUUUUUUUUGUACAAAACCACAAGUCAAAGAUUUGGUGGGUUUUUUUUUUUAAUUUUUUUUUUUUUUAAAUCUAUUUUUUUUCCCAAAAGUUUGCCAGCAAUCAGGGAAACAAAAUUUAAAAUAUUUAUACACUUUUCUUCAGAUUUUAUGAAACCCGUUUCUCCCUGUGUUCAAGCACAUAGUAGAACAUUGAAUAAGUAAAGCCAUUAACUAGGAGAAUAUUUAUCAAGAAUCUGGUUAAAAAUGUAGAUUCAUUCGUUGCUCUUUAUCAUUACAACUGUUUUUAUCCUGCUUUAUGUAAUGUAGACCCCUUAACAAUCUAAAGCCUAUAUAGCGCUCCAGUGGUCCUUGCUCUAUGAUCACAAUAAUUCUAAGGAACCUGUAGUUUAGCAGAGAAUUAAUUUAACGGGGAUAUUGCUCAGAGGUGGCAGGUGAGUGCAAAUCAGAUGCUUGGCUUCUCGUCUGUAAAAUUCUGUUAACUAGAUAGAGAUCUGCUCACUAUAGCUUUCAUUCUUGGAAAUGUGAGCCAGUUUGAGAGCACUGGAUGCCCAAGUUUGUAUCUCCAAAAAUAUGAUUUGAUCUUGUGUACACAGUGACUGCAUAGAAUUAAGCAGUUUGCAUAUUUUUGUAAAUACGUAUUAUAACAUGACCUCUUUUGAAAACCAAUAUUGUGUUUGUGUAUCUCUAAGGGGAAUUCAGAAUGUUCAAAAAUGUGUUUUGUGGUUUUAUAUUUUAUUUAUGAAUUUUCUAGCUAUGGGGAUUGGGGGAUUUCUAGACCAUAAAGGGAAAUUGUCACUAGCACCACUACAAAUUAAUGUAGUGGUUCUGGUGUCUGUAGUCUGUCGCUGCAGGCUUUUCAGUGUAAACAGGGGGUGGGGGGAUUGCGUUGCUGUGACCUAAAUAGUUUUAAUUCUAGUGUCAGGAAUAAAUGUUUAUAUUUCUAAAACUAUAGUGUUAAUUUUUAAUGAAAGUAAAUGUUUGUAUUAUGUGUCAUAUGCAUGUAGUUGAAUAAUCUCGGACAGGGUUAUCUACUGAAGUAAGAAUUGAAAGUUUAUUGCAAACAUAAGGCCAUAGUUGACUUAGAGAAUUUUCCAUUUCAGCUACCUUUUGUCUUGCAUUUGAAAAUCAUUUUGAAUUCUCACUUUUUAGUGAAUAAGCCUGUAAAUUGUGAAUGGCAAGAUGUCUAGAUGGCCAGUUCAAAAGAAAGCUAACAAUGUAAUUGGUUAGUUUAGCACAAUUUAAUUGAACAUUUUGCGUUUUCCUGCAUUAUGUCACCCACCCCUCUUACAUUUUGAGAACAGAGUAACGGUAGUGGCAGAAAUUGUGCAGUCCAAAGUAGAGCUCCAUCCCAUAAUAAAG